This 494-nucleotide ribosomal RNA is filed under the name uncultured bacterium. Its description in RNAcentral is "partial 16S ribosomal RNA". It matches the Rfam family "Bacterial small subunit ribosomal RNA", at positions 28 to 507 of the family's 1533-position model. The record is from RNAcentral.
GACGAACGCUGGCGGCGUGCUUAACACAUGCCAGUCGAACGGUGAAGCGCCUUCCUUUUUGGUGGGUGUGGAUGAGUGGCGAACGGGUGAGUAACACGUGAGUAACCUGCCCCCUUCUUCUGGAUAACCGCAUGAAAGUGUGGCUAAUACGGGAUAUUCUGGGUCUGUCGCAUGAUGGGUCUGGGAAAGAUAUUGUUUCGGUGGGGGAUGGGCUCGCGGCCUAUCAGCUUGUUGGUGGGGUGAUGGCCUACCAAGGCGGUGACGGGUAGCCGGCCUGAGAGGGUGGACGGUCACACUGGGACUGAGACACGGCCCAGACUCCUACGGGAGGCAGCAGUGGGGAAUAUUGCACAAUGGGCGCAAGCCUGAUGCAGCGACGCCGCGUGAGGGAUGGAGGCCUUCGGGUUGUGAACCUCUUUCGCUAGUGAAGCAGGCCUGCCUCGUUUGUGGGUGGGUUGACGGUAGCUGGAGAAGAAGCGCCGGCUAACUACGUG